This 246-nucleotide long non-coding RNA is filed under the name Fragaria vesca (wild strawberry). RNAcentral's name for it is "long non-coding RNA (FVES_LNC000794)". The record is from RNAcentral. Lineage: Eukaryota; Viridiplantae; Streptophyta; Magnoliopsida; Rosales; Rosaceae.
AUGUUCUUCCGACUUCUUGUAUCCUUUGUCUUUCAAUAAAUACGAUCAAAGGGAUGUGAACAAUGAGUGUGCUUUACAAUGAGUGUCUCUCAUGAACGGAAGCAAGUUUGCCGACCACCUUAACUUACCCACCAAAAUGGCCACUCAUCUAUCAUAUUGACAUGUGUCAUUUUUUUAACCAUGGUUGAGACUUUUUUUUAACCAUGGUUUCUCAACCAUAGUUGAUAUAUACAUGUUAAUAAAUUG